RNAcentral lists this ribosomal RNA (444 nucleotides) under uncultured bacterium. Its description in RNAcentral is "partial 16S ribosomal RNA". It matches the Rfam family "Bacterial small subunit ribosomal RNA", at positions 338 to 795 of the family's 1533-position model. The record is from RNAcentral.
CCUACGGGUGGCAGCAGUGAGGAAUAUUGGUCAAUGGGCGCGAGCCUGAACCAGCCAAGUCGCGUGAGGGAAGACGGUCCUAUGGAUUGUAAAGUUCUUUAAUCAGGGACGAAGAAGAUGACGGUACCUGAGGAAUAAGCCACGGCAAACUAUGUGCCAGCAGCCGCGGUACUACAUAGGUGGCAAGCGUUGUCCGGAUUGACUGGGCGUAAAGGGAGCGUAGGCGGUCUGUUAAGUUGGAAGUGAAAUCCCGGGGCUCAACCCCGGAACUGCUUUCAAGACUGACGGACUUGAGUGUAAGAGGGGUAAGCGGAAUUCGUAGUGUAGCGGUGGAAUGCGUAGAUAUUAGGAGGAACACCAGUGGCGAAGGCGGCUUACUGGAUUAUAACUGACGCUGAGGCUCGAAAGCGUGGGUAGCAAACAGGAUUAGAUACCCGUGUAGUC